Molecule: long non-coding RNA, 5859 nt
Organism: Sus scrofa (pig)
Lineage: Eukaryota; Metazoa; Chordata; Mammalia; Artiodactyla; Suidae
Source: RefSeq, a predicted model, not a curated record
UUCCAUGUGCUGCUGCAGCUGUGGCACUAAAAAGCCAAAAAAAAAAAGGAAGAAAGAAAGAAGAAAAGAUAUGCACCCCAGCGUCCACUGUGGCACUUCUCACAACAGCCGAAACAAGGAAGCCACCGGAAUGUGCUUCGACAGAGGGAUGAAGAAGCCGUGGUACGUGUACACGGUGGGCUAUUACUCAGCCGUUAAAAGGAAGGAAAUAACGCCGUUUACGACAACAUGGAGGGACCUAGACGAGAUUCUGCCACGAGAAGUCCGACAAAGACCAGUUAUCACAUGAUAUCACUUCUCGAGGACGCUGAAAAAUGAUACGAAUGAACUUCUUUACAAAACAGAAACAGAUGCACAGACAGAGAGAACGAAUUUGCCGCUACCACAGGCGAAAGGGGGGGAAGGAGGGAUAGAUUAGGAGUUUGGGAUGAAGAGAUUCACGCCUCUCUCUCUACAAAACAGAUAAACAACCAGGCCCUCCUGUUCAGCAGAGGGGAGGAUACUCAGGAUCCCGUAAUCAAUCAUAAUGGAAAAGAAUAGGAAAAAGAAGACGUAUGUAUAUAUACGCAGGUGUAACUGGACCUUCAUGCUGUAUCCCUGCAACAUUAGCAAUCGCUCCUUUUUUGUGUGUACUUGCUUCAUUUUUGCCCAUUUUGCCUUAUUGCUCCUCUUCAACACCGCACAGUAUUUUAUAUUCCCUUUUGUCUUCUAAUACGUCUCCUGGGUUUUGUGAAAUCUGAGGGCAAUUUGAUAUUUGUUUCUUUUAAGAAAACUUGUUUACGGCCUGCAGGCUGGUGGCAAUUUUCCUGAUGAUUUUGCCAUAAACAUUCAGUGCUUCCAGAUGUUUAUUUCUGUAAAUUGCCCUUUAACUGUGUGCUUCGAUCCGUACCUCUUAGUCCUUUUCCCCAACCCUGUGUCCAGUCUCGGCUCCGCAUAAACUCAGGGUCUGUGUUGUUCUUCGGGGCCUUUAACCCGGUUCUUCUGCACUGGGGUUUGGGGGGGCUCGUCAAGGGUCCCCCACAGUUGUGACCCAUUCACCGUUCACUCUGUGCCGAUUUCCUUCCUUUCUUGCGCUUAUUUUAAUUUUUCAUUUUCUCCUCCUCAUCCCCUUUCUCGUAAGUGUUUUGGGCCUUCCCUCGGCUUCCUGGAGACCUUUGCUGAAGCCCGUUAAAGUCAUGCAACAACCUAGAAAAAAAGCCCUGUUCGAGAUACGGGGUCGGCUUUUGGAGGUUUUUCCUGGUUUUUCCAUUUGGGGGGUGACUUCAUUUCCCUGACCUGUUGGGCGAGUCCCAGGCUUUCUGUGUGGGUGCCUGUGAAUAUAUAAUUCAGCCUGAAAGGAGCUCAACCAGACCCGGGCAGAUCAAGGCCAGCCCCCAGCGUCCCUGUGUCCCUGUGUGAGAGGUGCCCUUUCACUCAGGUGACGGGAGUUGGAGGGUAGCUGGAGCUCUGUCCAUGUCGGCUGAACUUCCAGGUGGGGUGGCCCACACAGAGCACCCACUCAGCGCCCCGGUGGGUCUUGGGGGGCCCUGACCUCACAGGGUGCACACACUCCCCCCGGCUUGGCCACCUCGCCACUCUGCCUCCUCCAGAAACACUGUCUCAUCAGGACGGCACGAUCCAGAAUUUCCCGUGUCUCCCAGACUGCGACGUCCCUUCUUUUCUCUUAUUUUUGUGCGGACAUGGCAGGAGGAUGGAGAAUGAUGGUUGUGUUGCUGUGUUGCUGUCACAACACCCAUUUAUAGCAGAGCACUGGCUGCCAAGUUUCCUGCUGCAGGGGGAGGGCAGUAGAGAGUGGAGGGAGAAGGACCUCUCCGAUCGCUGUCUGUCUGUCUGGCAGUUUGCUCUGCUUGGGACAGCAAAGAGAACACGUGUCAGAUGCUCUUCAGUUUCAGAUUAUAGCUCUGCGGAUAAAAUUUUCUUUCUAAGACAUGCGUAAUACAUGCCAUUAUGCUUUGCCAUGUUCACAUUUUAAUUUAAUGUUUAAAAUUGAAGCGUAGUUGGUUUCCAAUGUGUUAGUUUCAGGUGUAUGACAACGUGAUUCAGUCUUAUACACAUACGUUCUUUUCCAGAUUCUUUUCCACUAUUAGAAGGUAUCAAGUAGAUUUGCCUGUGCUAUGCAGCAGGUCCCUGUUGUUUACCUGUUUUAUAUGCAGUAGUACCUGUUAAUCCCAUCCUUCUAACUUAUACCCCCGCCGCACCCCGCUUGCCCCUUUGGUAAUCGUAAGUUUGUUUUCUGUCUGGGUGUCUGUCUCUGUUUUGCUUUGAGGGCUAUUUCAGAGACUCCUGGCUAGAAUUCAUGCUUAAAAACAUGCAUCCUCAUGGAGGUUCUGGGAAUCCUAUUUCACGAUCCUAAAUGAUUUUCAUUAGCUGGACACUUGAACUUUGCUGGGUGUCAAAUGCUUAUCAAACGGCAUCAGCUCCGUUGAACAAUUAAGUGACCUCAUCGGGGAGUCACUAACUCCCGGUUGGUUCUUAGUUAGGAGAGUGGGCUGACCGGCCGAACUGAAGGAAGGACGGAAGGAAGGAAGGGAGGGGAGGGUGGGUGUCUGAGGUCCUGAUUCUAAAAUCUGCGAGAUCAUUAGAAACAUGCUGAAAUGAAAGGGCAUUUUCCACCUGCAGAUCAAUGUAAGUCAAAGUCCUAAUUAAAGAAGAAAACACAACAUUCCAAUAAGCCAACAUUUUGUUUUAUGUGCAUAUAUGCCAAUAUUUUAUAGUUAAGAGCCACAGCCAGAAUACAAAUUCUAUCUGGACAGUUUUGUUGAUAUUUGUGGUAUAAAUUUAGAAGCGUAGGACAUACUAUGCUUUUUAUAAACGUCACAGCUUAUUGAGUCACUGAAAAGCUGGCAAAGAUCCACAGCUUUGCCGUAUUUCAGUAAUAAUCCCAGGCUGUUCUUUUGUGUAUUCCUGUCUGCCAAGUCCCUCCACCAAACAAUUCAUUUAUUUCGCAUUAACUUCAGUGGUGUUCCCAGUUACUUCAUCCAUAGCCUCCAAAGUAUGCAGUGAGGCUUGCCAAGUAUUUUCGCAUGUUUCUGCUUUAUUUAUGGUUUACUUGUUUCCAUAGCUUUCAAUUCCAGACUUAUUAACCGACAUAAGGAAGGGCGCCUUCGAUCCGCCCCCCGCUCAUGGCUACCAGACCUUCUCUGAAUACCGUCUCUUCGGAGAGAUGACCUGGCCACGCAGGGUUUUCCUCCUGUUGAUUCGUCCCCCUGCCAUUGAAACUGAUCUGCCAUUUCCCCUUCAGGAAAAUGGUUUCUCCAGGGACACUUGCCCUUGUGCCAACGAGUCAGGCCAACCGUCUGGAGUGUCCCCCUGUGGGAUGCAGGAGCUACAUCCUCUUUUUCUAAGAGUGGCCCGAUUUGGCCACAAGCCUGCCUUGCCCUCAAAUUGCCGUCAACAUGGAGAAUUACUAAGAAGGAUGUCUUGGUAGGAAGUCCUGUGACUUUUCACAAGGAACAUCCUGAAAGGCACAGUAUUUUCUGCCUUCCAAAAAGAAAAUAAUAAUUACCUUUAAAAUUACAAUGUGUAAGUUUUUGUCAGAAAUUCUGCUCACAAAGGAAUGUGAGCUGAGAGCUUUUCAUGUCAACCUGAGGAUCUACGACCAAGUCACGGCCCCAAGAGUGUCUGGAAGACACAGGUCCAAAUACCGUCCUAGUUAGCAUUGUUAGGCGAAGAUUAGUCAGUUUACCACGGAUUCCCGGGGCACCUGGAACACGAUUGUUCAUCAUAAAGAAAAAAAACACACAGAUUAUUCCACUCCACGUAGAUGAAAUGCUCAUUCUGGGUUUAUAAGACCCAACAAAGCUUAACAAGCUCAUCACCUUUUAACAAAGAUUUUAGUAACAUGCUGCUGAAUAAGACCAACGAGGAAGCAUUUUCAAUUAUGCCAUGACAUGCUCUUGUCCCUUGUACUAUAAAUAAGAGAGUCAGGGACGGUCACUCACACUGUCGCAGGCUGGAAUUAUUUGCUGCCUGAGGUCACGAAAGCUGCUUCUGGAUCACAGGUUAAUGACCCAACGGUUUUUUCUAGAAGGGGUGAGCUUAUGUGUGAGCGUGCGUGUGAAUCAAGUCAGUUGCUAAUUCCGUUCCUCUGUUCACUAGGACGGGGUCUAUUUUGAGCAAAUGAGGUCAAUGAAGUUGCGGGGAGAAGCGCGCGGCGUUGCCCGUGACUUCCGCACGUGGGGCAUUUUUCCACCAAGAGAAGAAGUUUGGCUUUAGGGAUGAGAAAUGCAGAAGGACACCAGGGUGGAAUGUUAAUGUGUAUCAUCAUAAGAAGGAACACUUGUUUUGUUUACACAACUGUGUCUCCAGACCUGAAGCAUCACCAUGCGGAGAAUCAGCGGAAUUACUUCCAGGUUUUCCCCACGGUCCGCAUUUGGUACAUACUCGCCGACAGGCCCAAAGGCUGUCUCUGCUCUGAACUUCGAACAGUGAUCAUUGCAGAAUUACAGAGAAACUGAUGGGCGUUCAACCACUGGCUGAGAAAAUGUUUUUGUUAAAAACAGACACGUAAAAAGAGGGAUAGUGGUGGUACCUCAAACCCACAGCGGCAAUUCCCCGCGUGUUGGGAGGAAAAGCCACGUUUUUCUGCAUGUUGUCUAAUGAGACAAGGAGGUGGGGGACAGCGGGUCCAGAAUGGGGGUUCCCUGCGCCCCGAAGCUUGGCCUGCGGGAGGGACCACGUGUCCUUGUGUGGGGGUGACAACAUCCGCACUGCCCCCACCCCAAGACCCUGGAAAGCGGGAGGAUGCGUAGGCUGGAAUCUUCUUUUAAAAAUUAAAUAUCUAUUUGGAACAUGAACUAGAAAUACCGAUGGACAAGCACACUCUAUAAAUAGCAUCUCUGUCCUGGCUCGUGACUGCAUCCAGUCUGUGACCUUCGAAGGCCUCUGAAAGGGCAGAGCCCGCCGCGGCCGCUUGGACGGUUCUUAUCCCCAGGCCGGGCUGAAGGGAGCGUCUGGGGCCGCCUGGUGGUGUCUCCAUAAACACAGAUAUCCUCAGGGCGCCAGGCCACCCCUCUCUUUCCAGACAUUCCCCCCACCCCGGAACGCCUCUCAUGGUGUGGAGACCACCCCCAGCCUGUCAAACCCACAGAGCUCCCACCUUCAAACGUGCCCUCUUUGCCUGCACCCUUGGAGGGCAGGAGCCGAGUCUGGCUUAGGGCUGUAUGGCUGGAUCUGACCGUGACACCGGAGGCCUGGCGAGUGGGUGAUCUGUGUCUCUCAAACUCAGUAAGCCCUCUCCAGGCCUGAGGAUGAGGGCUUGGCAUCCCCAGGAGGCAGAAAGGCGGACCCUCAAGCCCACCCAGACCUGCGGAAUCAAUCUGCGUCCAACCAGAUCCCCAGAUGCGGUCCAGGCACAGCUUUGAAAUGUGAGGAGCCAUGAAGAAUCGACUGGUGUGGGCGAGGCUCUGCUCAGGACAGGCUUUGCUUCUUACACAAAUUAUAGCUGUUGGGAGGCUUGAAGGGGACCAUUCUCACAUUCGAGGCCACACACCCAUUAGCUAAGACGUCAGGACCGCCGCUGUUCAGACGGAGAUUUCUGUGACAUCACUGACGUCCCUGCUUCAAAGACACCGCAGUCUCAGUACAACUGGCAUGUGAGUCCCACUUUCGGCUGAAUCUUGCACGUCGAGGGUGAAAGGCGGCAACUGCGUGUCAUGAAACACAGUCUACUCCUUCCUCUAAAGAUAAAGAAAAAACCCACCCUGUCGCAGCUUCUGAGUGAAUUUUACCUGGAACUUAACCCAUUUUCUGAUCCGUGAUCCACUUACUUGUGUGUUUAUCUUCUGUAUCAUUCCACAGUGGAACUGAGUUGCCUUCACACACACACAGACACACACACACACACACACACACACACAC